GCAUAAUCAUUUGCCUCUUAAUUGGAGGCUAGUAUGAAUGGAUAAAUGAGGGUUUAACUGUCUCUUUUAUAAAAAUAUAAAUUAAUUUUCAGGUGAAGAAGCCUGAAUACUGAUAAAAGACAAGAAGACCCUAUUGAGCUUUACUUUAAGCUUUAAAUACAAAAUAUUAACUUAUAUUCAUUAAAAAAUAAAAAGUUUGGUUGGGGCGACAAGGGGAUAUCUAAAUCUCCCCUUUAUUUGAAGACGACAAAUCAAUUAAUGAUCCGAAUAUAAUAUUUUAUUCGACCAAAGGAAAAAGCUACCAUAGGGAUAACAGGCUAAUUCUUCUAGAGAGCCCACAUUGAUAGAAGAGAUUGGCACCUCGAUGUUGGCUUAGAGUACCCCUCUGGCGCAGCCGCCAGAAACGGUUGGUUUGUUCAACCAUAAAAACUCU
Molecule: ribosomal RNA, 433 nt
Filed under: Aglaophamus sp. 84 PB
Lineage: Eukaryota; Metazoa; Annelida; Polychaeta; Phyllodocida; Nephtyidae
Description: partial 16S ribosomal RNA
Rfam family: Bacterial large subunit ribosomal RNA
Source: RNAcentral